Non-coding RNA from Vicugna pacos (alpaca), 2993 nucleotides. Lineage: Eukaryota; Metazoa; Chordata; Mammalia; Artiodactyla; Camelidae. The record is from RefSeq and is a predicted model, not a curated record.
GCCCCGGACCGGCAUUCCGCUUGGUAUGCUCCAAGAUGGCGGCACCCAUAGUGCGGCGCGGGAUCCUCCUGGCGCGGAAAGUGUUGCUGCCUCAGCUCUCCCUGGCAGGUAAAAGAUGCCUGCUUUCUGCAGCCUAUGUGGACAGCCACAAAUGGGAAGCAAGAGAAAAAGAAGAUUGUCACCUUGCUGAUCUAGCAUCUUUAAUGGAUAAAACAUAUGAGAGAAAGCUGCCUGUUAGUUCUUUGACAAUAUCACGGUUUGUGGACAACAUUUCAUCUCGAGAAGAGAUAGACCAUGCAGAGUAUUACCUUUACAAAUUCCGACACAGCCCUAACUGCCAGUACCUGAGAGAUUGGACUAUACACACCUGGAUUAGGCAGUGUCUAAAAUACGGUGCACAAGACAAAGCCUUAUAUACCGUUGUAAAUAAGGUCCAGUAUGGCAUUUUUCCUGAUAACUAUACAUUUAAUUUACUGAUGGAUUAUUUCAUAAAGAAAGAAAACUACAAAGAUGCUUUAUCCGUGGUUUUUGAGAUCAUGAUGCAAGAAGCCUUUGAAGUUCCUUCCACUCAACUCCUCUCUCUAUAUAUUUUAUACCAUUGCCUGGCAAAGAAGACAGACUUCAGUUGGGAAGACGAGAAGAACUUUGGUGCAUCCCUGUUACUCCCGGGCCUAAAGCAGAAGAACCCAGUGGGGUUGAGCUCCCAGUUGUACGGCUAUGCGCUUCUUGGGAAGGUGGAGUUGCAGCAAGGGCUGUGGGCUGUGUACCAUAACAUGCCUCUGCUGUGGCGACCAGGCUACCUUGACAGAGCCCUUCAAGUGAUGGAGAAGGUGGCCUCCUCCCCAGAAGAUGGAAAGCUGUGUAGAGAAGCGCUCGACGUGCUAGACAGAGCGCUGAAGGCUCUGACCGCUCCAUCCCCUGGGUCUUCAGAGGAGCAACCCCAAGAGGGUGAGGAGGGCCAGCGGCCAGAAGAAGUCCUGGAGCAGUUGGAUGUGGAGGAGACUGAACAGUCCAAGCUUCCCCAAUACCUGGAACGAUUUGAGCACCACUGACCACCCCCUUAGAAGCUCGGUGACUACAGCAGACAGUCUGGGUCUGUUCUGGCACUGCUUUCCUGUGCUCACGAGCAUUCAUGUGGCACAUACUGCGUGCUGGGCACUGUGCACAGUGAUUUGGAGGUUACACAGUCUCUCCUUAGGACAAUACUCUAAAAUGUGAGCCAGCUCUCAGACAAGACUGGAUACCAACCUUUGGCAAGAGGAAGGUUCAAAAAGACUAAGCCAGUCAGGACAUACCAGCGAAGGUAAGGGGCAUGUGGCAGCCAAAAUUCUCAGUCUAAAUCACAAAGCCCGGGUAAGGUAAAGAUUAACUCGAAAGCUUCUUGGCACCUUGUUGGGUGAGCUGGCUUUCUGAUUUGUUCUAAUUAGAAGACUUAAACUUUUUGAAACAUUAAUAGAAGUAGCAUUCUAAGGCAGUGUUUCUUCACCCUGGUUGCAUGAUUAGAAUCAUUUAGAAUGCUUAAUACUAAUGCCCGGGGCCCAGGCACCAGGCCCCAGAAUCUGGCUUAACUGGGCUGGGGCAGGACCUGGGCACCACCAUUUUUUAAAACUAUUCCAGAUGAUGCCAAUGUGUAUGUGGUUCGAGACCACUGCUGUAAAGCCAUUUAAAAUGCCAGUCAGAUCUUACCUUUCUACAGAGGAUGUAUAAAGACUGUCAUCCCAGAGUCAAAACUAGUAAUGAAUUCCGUCAGUCGUCUCAUUUUAUUUUCAGGGGGAUGGGGGAGUGGUGAGAAUCAGCCAAACUAGUAUUUAGACAAACUGACUAAUUUUAUGAGCAGAUUAAACAGCCAUUUUAAUGAACCUAAGCUCAAACCCCUCAACAUAUCCAUGUGUUAGGUCUCCCAAAGAAUUCUGAUUUGUAGCAGAAGUUUAUGGGUUUCAUUUCUCCUCAUAAUUAAAAAAUGUCCAGUUUCCUCUUGCACACUGAAUCACUGCCAUCAACACCAAAGCAAUAUUGCUCAGAGAAGCCGAAACAGAGGGAACUGCCAGAAGCCAAACCAGGUUUGUUUUCAAAAUCAAUCAAUAGUGCAAUUUGUCUUUUUAGAAAUCUGUUGGGAAAGUAAAUGCAAAUUAACUCAGCCUCAAAAUUAUCUCUAAAUGACAAAAAAAAGUUUAAAAAAGAUCUGUUAUGUGGGCUAGUGUGUAUGUUUGGCAAGUUUGGUAACACAUUUCAGUGGGGUUUUAUCUGUUUGAAUGGAUUUUCAUGUUUUCUCCUGAGUACAGGUCAGCUGUCAAGGCCUUCAGAUGAAGGAGUUAAUUAUCUGGUGGUUUUCUAUUAAUUCUAAGCACAAAUUCAGUUUGUUUCUACAUGCAAGUAAAAAGAGGAAAUCUGAUUAAGACCUGAGUCUUGAAAUUGAUGCUCCAUGUUGUUUAAAAGUAAAAAAAUUGUAGUUGUAACUAACAACAGUACAUUUAGUGCCUAAAACGUACUGAAUUUGAGUGUCCCGAUGUUUCAUCCAUCAGAUUUUCCUUAAUAAAUCAAGGAAGUGUUGCUUAAAUUAUUUUUUGCUUUACAUGUUUGGGUCAAGUUAUGUUACUUUGUGAACUGUCAUCUAAAAAUUCCUGAAUAAAUUUGUAAAGCAAAUAAAAUCUAUUAAUUCAAAUCCCUGUGAUUGGUUUGAACAAAGAGGAAUUUCCAUCUGAAACAGAAUUCUGAGUCUGUUAGGCUGUGUGGUCAGAGAGGGAGAUAAAAGAGAGCCUUCAAUGCUUUUCUCUCAAUUUGUACUGGGUACCCACUGGUCAGCUGAAUUCGCUGGUUGAUAAAACAGAGCAUUGCCUUUGAUGGGGACGUAUCUCCAGCCUGGUGUUUUUAUUUUUCUAAGAUUUUUAAUUUUAAGAUGUUAUAAUUUUAUUUAAAAUAUUUUUUAUUUAAAAAAAUGGAACCUAAAUCUUGGGUCUACAAUGGUUAUUCCAGGCUUGGCUUAGAACUCUGGU